Molecule: non-coding RNA, 132 nt
Organism: Caenorhabditis elegans
Lineage: Eukaryota; Metazoa; Nematoda; Chromadorea; Rhabditida; Rhabditidae
Source: Ensembl
GAAAUUGGUCAAGUGGAGGGAUUUUUUAAAGAAGAUUGAGGGAAGUUAUCUGAAACAGAGACAGCAUGUAUUCCAGAAAAAUCUUUCCAGGUUUGUAAACCUGCUCCCAACUUGUACCUAAUCGGCAGUGAC